CAAAUUUCCCAAUCCGUACAAAUUUCCCCGGAUUUUUUAGCUUUGGUUUAUUCUUCUAAAACCCUAUUUCACGUCCAGCCACCGCCACCCUCCCAUUUCCGGCCCGGCACGAGAGCAUAUACUUCUCAAACUGGUUGAAAGAAUUGAGUUAGAGCUAACCUAGAGAUAGCAAUGGGGGAAGAGCAAAAAGACCCUUUUAAGGGAGUGGACUGGAAAGCCGUCGGUGGGGAUAUGCAAAAAGAAAACAUUAUAAAGAAAAGGCGUCCAACAAAAAUUAGACAAAUUCCAGAUCAUUAUUUUCUUCCUAGAAGAUCCCUUCCUUCUGCCAUUGCAUUAUAUGGGGCGUGUAUUGCAGGUGGCAUUGGUGUUGGUAUGCUGAUGGAGAUCUGGAUAAAUGAUAAAGUUAAAAAGGAUGGAGGUGUUAUCUGGGAGUUCGACAAGUAGAGUACAAGAGUAGUGUAUUAUUCAAGCAGAACAAGAUAAUCAAGUUGCUGGGUUUUGUUUUAUUAAUCCUAGUUUUGGCACGCAUUAAGUGAACAUUUUUUAAUGCCUCUAGGAAUUGUACAAAAAUUGGAAGCAAUAACUUGUUUUUUAUAACCUCCAAUUCAGCUAUUGGUUGUUUCUCUGAUUACAGAUCAAGCACAACUGACAAUAAAUGCAAUCAUUUUUGGUAUAAACCUUGCACAGAUUGCUGCUUUGCUCUGCUAAAGC
This is a non-coding RNA of Benincasa hispida (wax gourd), 711 nucleotides long. The record is from RefSeq and is a predicted model, not a curated record. Lineage: Eukaryota; Viridiplantae; Streptophyta; Magnoliopsida; Cucurbitales; Cucurbitaceae.